This 444-nucleotide ribosomal RNA is filed under the name Hindoloides bipunctata. RNAcentral's name for it is "partial 16S ribosomal RNA". Lineage: Eukaryota; Metazoa; Arthropoda; Insecta; Hemiptera; Machaerotidae. The record is from RNAcentral.
AUCUGCCCAAUGAUUAUUAAAUGGCUGCGGUAAUUUGACCGUACGAAGGUAGCAUAAUAAUUAGUCUUUUAAUUGAAGUCUGGAAUGAAAGAUUGGAUGAGAAAAUAACUUUCUUUAUUAUUUUAAUUUGAACUUGAUUUUUAAGUGAAAAAGCUUAAGUUUUUUUAUGGGACGAUAAGACCCUAUAGAGCUUGAAAUUUUUUGUUUUAAAAUAUUUUUAGGUUUAAUAGUUUUUUAUUAUAAUGAAUUUUUUGUUGGGGUGACAAAUAAAAUUUUUUUGUCUUUUUUUUUUUUAUUCAAUUAUAUUUGAUUUUUUUGAUCCUUAUAUUUAAGAUUAGAAGAUAAAGUUACCUUAGGGAUAACAGCGUUAUUUAUUAUUAGAGUUCUUAUCGAUUAAUAAGUUUGCGACCUCGAUGUUGGAUUAAGAUUAGGGAAGGGUGAAGG